Astyanax mexicanus (Mexican tetra) is the source of this 1188-nucleotide long non-coding RNA. RefSeq lists it as uncharacterized. NCBI's taxonomy places the organism in Eukaryota, Metazoa, Chordata, Actinopteri, Characiformes, Acestrorhamphidae. The transcript has 2 exons. The record is from RefSeq and is a predicted model, not a curated record.
UUGGUCUGCAGGUUUAGGUUCAACAACAGUAUGUGCUGAAAGAAUGAGGUCAGCUGACUACCUGAAGAUACCGAAUAUAGAGCAGGUUAUUCCAUCAAUGGAUUUUUUCUUUCCUGGUGACACAGGCAUAUUCCAAGAUUGUUCAAGAUUGUUCACCACAGAGUCCAGAUCUUAACCUCAUUGAGAAUCUUUGGGAUGUGCUGGAUGGAGAAGAGCUGCUUUGUGCAGUGGUCAGACUCUACCAUCAUCAAUGCUGCUGCAAGAUCUUGGUAAAAAAAUAAUGCAACACUGGAUUGAAGUAAAUCUUGUGACAUUGCUGAAGCUUAUCAAAACAAUACCACAGUGAAUGUGUGCUGCAAUCAAAGCUAAAGGCAGUCCAACAAAAUAUUAAAGUGUGACCUAGGUCAGAUAUGUGGGAGCAGGCUUAACAUCCCCAUUCACAGCCAGGCUGGAUCAUCUUCCUGUGAUAAAAGUAAGCCCAGGAUCUAGAGCAGCCCACUGGGGCAGAAAAGCAGUAACAGGACUUCUCUGUGAAUGGGUGAACGAGCUAUAGGAAGAAGAAAAACAAAAAAAAAAGGUAAAAACAAGAGGUUAGGAGGGUCAUGGUGAACAGAGGAAAACCGGUCCAGUGGUCAGGCAUGAAGCAGCACCCACCCACUACUUGUACAGUCUGAUACUGCAGCAAAUAGGGACAAACUCUCUGUCAGUGCCUUCAAUUUCAUAAUAAAUAUGAGAUCAACGGGUGUCUACAGACCUUUGGACAUAUAUUGUAUUUUGAUUAAAAGUGUAAUUUAUUUUCUUAAAAAUGCAGCAGUUGUUAGUCUAUUUCAUGCCAUUUAACAGUUCAGAUUAUAGCACUUGUUUUCACACUGUACUAUUCUCAUUUCCAAGAUAAUUCCAGAUCCACUGUACCAGAUCCAUGAACAGAAAUUAAGGUGACUCAUUUAUUAAGGUGAUCAAUUAUUCACAUGAAUGUAACUGACAAAUUGUAAAGGUCUAACCUGCUGUACAUAUGUUGUGUGCUUAUAUUUGUUUAACUAUGUGUUGUUUUAUGUGGACAAAAGUAUAUGUGUUUAGUGCCCUAAAAGGAACAAUUUAAGAGGCCUUGCUGUUUGUCUCAGCACAUCGUAAAGAGCUAUUCUGUCAGAUUUUACAGGACUACUGAAUAUGAAUAUAUGAAUAUUAUAU